RNAcentral lists this ribosomal RNA (253 nucleotides) under uncultured bacterium. RNAcentral describes it as "partial 16S ribosomal RNA". It matches the Rfam family "Bacterial small subunit ribosomal RNA", at positions 524 to 776 of the family's 1533-position model. The record is from RNAcentral.
UACGUAGGGCGCAAGCGUUAUCCGGAAUUAUUGGGCGUAAAGAGCUCGUAGGCGGUUUGUCGCGUCUGCCGUGAAAGUCCGGGGCUCAACUCCGGAUCUGCGGUGGGUACGGGCAGGCUAGAGUGAUGUAGGGGAGACUGGAAUUCCUGGUGUAGCGGUGAAAUGCGCAGAUAUCAGGAAGAACACCCGUGGCGAAGGCGGCUCUCUGGGACGGUACUGACGCUGAGACGCGAAAGCGUGGGGAGCGAACAGG